Molecule: ribosomal RNA, 1421 nt
Filed under: metagenome
Description: bacterial LSU rRNA
Rfam family: Bacterial large subunit ribosomal RNA
Source: RNAcentral
UCUGGUGCAAGUGCGUAGGCCGAGCUGUAGGCAAAUCCGCAGCUCACAUAGGCUGAGACACGAUGCGGAUAAAAAGUGGGUGAUCCUAUGCUGCCAAGAAAAGCAUCGACGCGAGGUUCCAGCCGCCCGUACCCCAAACCGACUCAGGUGGUCAGGUAGAGAAUACCAAGGAGAUCGAGAGAAUCGUGGUUAAGGAACUCGGCAAAAUGCCCCCGUAACUUCGGGAGAAGGGGGGCCUUCGACGUAUUAGGACUUGCUCCGAAAGCGUUUGGAGGCCGCAGAGACUAGUGGGUAGCGACUGUUUACUAAAAACACAGGUCCGUGCCAAGUCGCAAGACGAUGUAUACGGACUGACGCCUGCCCGGUGCUGGAAGGUUAAGAGGACCGGUUAGCCGCAAGGCGAAGCUGAGAAUUUAAGCCCCAGUAAACGGCGGUGGUAACUAUAACCAUCCUAAGGUAGCGAAAUUCCUUGUCGGGUAAGUUCCGACCUGCACGAAUGGCGUAACGACUUCCCAACUGUCUCAACCGCGAACUCGGCGAAAUUGCAUUACGAGUAAAGAUGCUCGUUACGCGCAGCAGGACGGAAAGACCCCGUGACCUUUACUAUAGUUUGGUAUUGGUGUUCGGUGUGGCUUGUGUAGGAUAGGUGGGAGACUUUGAAGCUUGGACGCUAGUUCAGGUGGAGUCAUUGUUGAAAUACCACUCUGGUCACUCUGGAUAUCUAACUUAGAACCGUAAUCCGGUUCAGGGACAGUGCCUGAUGGGUAGUUUAACUGGGGCGGUUGCCUCCCAAAAAGUAACGGAGGCGCCCAAAGGUUCCCUCAACCUGGUUGGCAAUCAGGUGUCGAGUGUAAGUGCACAAGGGAGCUUGACUGUGAGACUGACAGGUCGAGCAGGGACGAAAGUCGGGACUAGUGAUCCGGCAGUGGCUUGUGGAAGCGCUGUCGCUCAACGGAUAAAAGGUACCUCGGGGAUAACAGGCUGAUCUUGCCCAAGAGUCCAUAUCGACGGCAUGGUUUGGCACCUCGAUGUCGGCUCGUCGCAUCCUGGGGCUGGAGUAGGUCCCAAGGGUUGGGCUGUUCGCCCAUUAAAGCGGUACGCGAGCUGGGUUUAGAACGUCGUGAGACAGUUCGGUCCCUAUCCGCUGCGCGCGCAGGAAAUUUGAGAGGAUCUGACCCUAGUACGAGAGGACCGGGUUGGACGAACCUCUGGUGUGUCAGUUGUUCCGCCAGGAGCACCGCUGAUUAGCUACGUUCGGGAUGGAUAACCGCUGAAAGCAUCUAAGCGGGAAGCCGGCCUCAAGAUGAGAUUUCCAUGCCUUCGGGCGAGAGGCUCCCAGCCAGACUACUGGGUUGAUAGGCCGGAUGUGGAAGCGUGGCAACACGUGAAGCUGACCGGUACUAAUAAGCCGAUGAUUCGAA